This 253-nucleotide ribosomal RNA is filed under the name uncultured bacterium. RNAcentral describes it as "partial 16S ribosomal RNA". It matches the Rfam family "Bacterial small subunit ribosomal RNA", at positions 524 to 776 of the family's 1533-position model. The record is from RNAcentral.
UACGAAGGGGGCUAGCGUUGUUCGGAAUCACUGGGCGUAAAGCGCACGUAGGCGGCUUGUUAAGUCAGAGGUGAAAGCCUGGAGCUCAACUCCAGAACUGCCUUUGAUACUGGCAAGCUCGAGUAUGGCAGAGGUUGGUGGAACUCCGAGUGUAGAGGUGAAAUUCGUAGAUAUUCGGAAGAACACCAGUGGCGAAGGCGGCCAACUGGGCCAUGACUGACGCUGAGGUGCGAAAGCGUGGGGAGCAAACAGG